GAGGUACAGUACAGAUGUUGACCUGAAAAAGACGGGGUUGAAGAGAAGAGGUACAGUACAGAUGUUGACCUGGAAAAGACGGGGUUGAAGAGAGGAGGUACAGUACAGAUGUUGACCUGGAAAAGACGGGGUUGAAGAGAAGCCUGGACUCCCAAAUGAACAUUGUUCCAAAUCACUUUUGUUACAACAGAUCGAUAGUUGGAUUUCAGGCUAUUUAAGGAGAAGUAUGAAAGGGGAAAGUGAUGACAAUGGGGAUGAAGAGGAACAUGAGGAAGAGGAGCAGGAAGAAGAGGGCAGCGUCUGUGUAAACGGAUAGUAGAAAAACUGCCAUGCUAAGUGAAAGAGUGAACCACACUGACCUAGCAGCAACAUUUCGCUUCAUAAAUAUAAAAAUGAUAGAAAUACAUCAACAAGUAAACAAACCACAAAAGUCCACUUCAAUAGUGAUAAUGAAUGACAGGUAGCCAGUCCACUUCAGUAGUGAUAAUGAAUGACAGGUAGCCAGUCCACUUCAGUAGUGAUAAUGAAUGACAGGUAGCCAGUCCACUUCAGUAGUGAUAAUGAAUGACAUGUAGCCAGUCCACUUCAGUAGUGAUAAUGAAUGACAGGUAGCCAGUCCACUUCAGUAGUGA
This 632-nucleotide long non-coding RNA is filed under the name Salmo salar (Atlantic salmon). RNAcentral describes it as "lncRNA (ENSSSAG00000102752.1, ENSSSAG00000110722.1)". The record is from RNAcentral. Lineage: Eukaryota; Metazoa; Chordata; Actinopteri; Salmoniformes; Salmonidae.